Molecule: RNA transcript, 3787 nt
Organism: Sciurus carolinensis (gray squirrel)
Lineage: Eukaryota; Metazoa; Chordata; Mammalia; Rodentia; Sciuridae
Gene name: zinc finger protein 709-like
Exons: 8
Source: RefSeq, a predicted model, not a curated record
GCCGCCGCUCCUGCGAGGCGCCUAGCGGCUCAGCCUUUGUUGGACUGUGACCUCCGCUGACCUCAGGAGCGGCGAGGAGGACGCGGGAGACCUCGGAAGCCGGGAAAUGGACCUAAUGACCUUUGAGGAUGUGGCAGUGAACUUCACCCUGGAGGAGUGGGCUUUGCUGGAUCAUUCCCAAAAGGAUCUUUACAGAGAAGUGAUGCUGGAAACCUUCAGGAACCUAACCUCUGUAGGAAUACAAUGGGAAUACCAGAAUAUUGAAGAUGAGUACAAAAUUUUUAGAAGAAAUCUAAGAAAUCAAGUGAUUGAGAAACUCUGUGAAUAUAAAGAAGGUAAUCCAUGUGAAGAAAUCUUCAGCCAGAUUUCAGAUCACAUUGUGAACAAGAAAACACAUUCAUUAAAACCAUGUGAAAGCCUCAUAUGUGGAGAAGUGGCCAUUGGUCAUUCAUCCCUUAAUAGGCAUAUCACAUCUGACUUUGGACAUAGACCAUAUGAGUAUCAGGAAAAACCCUCUGAACAUGAAGAACAUGAUGAAGUCUUUAGCUGGCCCAAUUUCAUUCAAAACUAUGAAAGAACUCACACCGGGGAGAAACCCUAUGAAUGUAAGCAAUGUGGGAAAACCUUCAGGAGUUCCAGUUAUGUUCAGAUACAUGAAAGAACUCACAACAGAGUGAAACCCUAUGAAUGUAAGCAAUGUGGGAAAGCCUUCAGGAGUUCCAGUUAUGUUCAGAUACACGAAAGAACUCACAAUGGAGUGAAACCCUAUGAAUGUAAACAAUGUGGGAAAGCUUUCAGUUGUUCCAGUUAUAUUCGAAUACAUGAAAGAACUCACACUGGAGAGAAACCCUAUGAAUGUAAGCAGUGUGGGAAAAUGUUCACUUAUCUCCAAAGUGUUCGAAGACACAUGAUAAUGCACAGUGGAGAUGGACCAUAUAAAUGUGAGGUAUGUGGGAAAGCAUUUCAUUAUCCCAGUUUAUUUCGUAUACAUGAAAGAACUCACACUGGAGAAAAACCAUAUGAAUGUAAACAAUGUGGUAAAGCCUUUAAGUGCCCCAGUUCUGUUCGAAAUCAUGAAACAACUCACUCUGGUGAGAAACCCUAUGAAUGUAAGCAGUGUGGGAAAGCCUUCAGUUGUCCCAGUUAUAUUCGAAUGCAUGUGAGAACACAUGCUGGAGAGAAACCUUAUGAAUGUAAGGAAUGUGGGAAAAUAUUCACUUGUCUCAAAAGUGUUCGAAGACACAUGAUAACACACAGUGGAGACAGACCUUAUAAAUGUAAGCAAUGUGGGAAAGCCUUCAGUAGUUCCAGUUAUGUUAGAAUACAUGAAAGAACUCACACUGGAGAGAAACCCUAUGAGUGUAAGCAGUGUGGGAAAGCCUUAAGUAGUUCUAAUUCCUUUCGAAGACAUGAAAGAACUCAUACUGGAGAGAAACCUUAUGAAUGUAAUGAAUGUGGGAAAGCCUUCAAGUGUCCCAGUUCCUUGUAUAAACAUGGAAAGAUUCACAGUGGAGAAUAAUUGUACAAGUAUAAGACAUGAUAACAAAUCUUCUGUUGUUUCAGUCAUGAACACAUGGAAGAACUUAAUACUGUACAGAAACCUUGUGGAUGUAAAGAAUGUUGGAAAAUAUGCUCUUGUUCUAGUUCCUUUCAUGAGAAAGAAAGAACUGAUCCUGGGGAGAAAUCCUAUCUAAGGAAUGCAGGAACGCUGAUAAUCACACAGCCUUUCUAGCACACACAAGAAUGCAUAGUGGAGAGAACUGCUAUGAAUGGAAAGAGUUUGGAAAAGCUUUUAAUCCUCACAGUCCAAUUUGAAGAGCACACAGGGAGAGAAACCUCCUGAAUAUAAACAGUGUGCAAAUGUCUUCAGUUGACUUACAUCCUAACUGCAUGUAAAAAUGCACACUGGGGCUGGGGAUAUAGCUCAGUGGUAGAGCGCUUGCCUAAGCCCUGGGUUUGAUCCCCAAACUGAAAAAACAAACAAACCAAGGAAUUUUCAAUUUAACCAACAUUUUCAAGUUUUUGCAGAAAGCCCCACUGUUUUGAAAUUCUAUAAAUCUAAGAAAUAUGAAAUGCUUGAUGCAAACUAACAUGGGUAUAUUGCUCACCAGAGUCCACAAUUUGAAGGAAAUGUUAUAAAAGCUGUACAUAUAUUAUCUUUGUCAGUGACUUUCUCUUAAAGUGGAUCUCUCUGCUAUGGAUUUCUAAAUCUUACUCUCACAAAGAAACACUGAACUGAGAUAAUUCUCCUGACCUAAUCACCCCUCCUACUCUGAGGUCAUGGGUUGUCUCCGUGGACACUGAAUCUGGAAUUCCUUGAGCACGCUUAUGACCCCAUUUCCAGGAGUAAGAUGCAAAAAGAGACCGCUGAGUUGCAAUUAAGAAGCGGUUGACGCUCCGGAAAGCCAGGAGCAAGCUCUACGCAUCUUCGGGCUGGGCCACGUCUGUGUCUGGGGAGGAAGAAAGGCCGGGAGUCAGUGUCCUUUGAGGAUGUGACUGUGAACUUCACCCUGGAGGAGUGGGCUUUGCUAGAUCCUUCUCAAAAGAAGCUCUGCAGAGAUGUGUUGCAGGAAACCUUCAGGAACCUGACCUCUCUAGGAAGAGGAUAAGAAGACCACAACAUUAAAAAUGGCUACAAAAACUCCAGGAAAAAAUCUAAGUGUCACAUGGUAGACCAUGAACAUAAAGAAGACAGUCAAUGUGAAGAAAUCUUUAUCUGGAUUCCAGAUCCUAUGAUGAACAAGAAAAUUCCUCCUGGAGUCAAACCUUGUGAAAACAGUGUAUGGAGAGGAGGCCUCACUGGUCAUUCAUCUCUAAAUGAGCCCAGAGUUCAGACUGGACACAAACAAUGUGAAUGUCAGGAAUAUUAGAUAAACCAUAUAAAUGUAAGAACUGUGGGAAAGCUUUCAGAAGAUGCCACUAUGUUCAAGUCCUUGCAAGAAUUCAUGCUACAGAAAAACCCUUUGUGUGUAAGCAGUGUGAGAUGGGCAUUCAAAAACAAGGUAAUACAUAAUAGAGGUGGAUAUCAUAUGUGUAAAGUAUGUGGUCAAGUCUUUGACUCUCAGUUCAUAUCUUAUAAAUGAAAGAAUUCACACUGGAGAGAAAUCCUAUGAUUGUAAGCAGUGUGGAAAGACUUUCACUUGUUACAGUUCUUUCAAGCACAUAGAAGAAGUCACACUGGAAAAAAACCCUGAGUGUAAACAAUGUGGGAAAGCCUUCACUGAUCACUGUUCCCUUCGAUACCAUGAAAGGAUUCACAGUGGGGAGAAACCCUGUGAAUGUGAGCAAUGUGGGAAAGCUUUCACUUGUUACAGUCCUUUCAAGCACAUAAAAGAAGUCACACUGGAGAAAACCCUAUGAGUGUAAGCGGUGUGGGAAUACCUUCACUUGUUCUGAUUUCCUUCAAAACUGUGAAAGGACUCACUGGAGAGAAUCCCUAAAUACAGAAUGUGGGAAUCUUCACUAUCACAACCUUACUUGGAUACAUAAUAAUGCAUAGUGGAGACUACUCCUAUCAGUGUAAAGCAUAUGGAAAUGCCUCUGCUCAUCUUGGUUUGAUUCACAGAUAUAAAAGAACACAGCAUAGUGCAAAACCUUGAAUAGAACAGAUGUGGAGAAGUCUUUAGCUGUCCUUCAUUUAAGAAUGCUCACUGGAUCAAAACCUUGUAAAUGUGAAAAAUCCAAAUGUGUACUUUCUGUUGAGACUGGUUAAGUUCUCCUAUCUUCAUUUCCACUGAGACUACCUUCUUGUUUUUGAUUUAUUAAAGAGUGAUUCCCCAUAUGGUGU